Molecule: ribosomal RNA, 497 nt
Filed under: uncultured bacterium
Lineage: Bacteria
Description: bacterial SSU rRNA
Rfam family: Bacterial small subunit ribosomal RNA
Source: RNAcentral
GAUGAACGCUAGCUACAGGCUUAACACAUGCAAGUCGAGGGGCAGCAUGGUCUUAGCUUGCUAAGACUGAUGGCGACCGGCGCACGGGUGAGUAACACGUAUCCAACCUGGCCCAUACUCGGGUAUAGCCUCUCGAAAGGGAGAUUAAUCCCCGAUGUUGUUGUUAUGUCGCAUGAUGUUUCAACCAAAGAAUUUCGGUAUGGGAUGGGGAUGCGUUCCAUUAGCUUGUUGGCGGGGUAACGGCCCACCAAGGCGACGAUGGAUAGGGGUUCUGAGAGGAAGGUCCCCCANACUGGAACUGAGACACGGUCCAGACUCCUACGGGAGGCAGCAGUGAGGAAUAUUGGUCAAUGGGGCUAAGCCUGAACCAGCCAAGUAGCGUGAAGGAUGACUGCCCUACGGGUUGUAAACUUCUUUUGAUGGGAAUAAAGUUCAGUACGUGUACUGUUUUGUAUGUACCAUACGAAUAAGCAUCGGCUAAUUCCGUGCCAGCAGCC